AUACGGAGGAUCCGAGCGUUAUCCGGAUUUAUUGGGUUUAAAGGGUGCGCAGGCGGCCAUUUAAGUCAGCGGUUAAAUCGUGGGGCUCAACCCCAUUCUGCCGUUGAUACUGGGUGGCUUGAUUGCGGUCGAGGUUGGCGGAAUUCGUUGUGUAGCGGUGAAAUGCAUAGAUAUGACGAAGAACACCGAUUGCGUAGGCAGCUGACCAGACCGCAAAUGACGCUCAUGCACGAAAGUGCGGGGAUCGAACAGGAUUAGAUACCCUGGUAGUCCGCACAGUAAACGAUGAAUACUUGUUUUCGGCGAUAUAAUGUCGGAGGCAAAGCGAAAGCGAUAAGUAUUCCACCUGGGGAGUACGCCGGCAACAGUGAAACUCAAAUGAAUUGACGGGG
This 392-nucleotide ribosomal RNA is filed under the name uncultured bacterium. Its description in RNAcentral is "partial 16S ribosomal RNA". It matches the Rfam family "Bacterial small subunit ribosomal RNA", at positions 523 to 918 of the family's 1533-position model. The record is from RNAcentral.